Strongylocentrotus purpuratus (purple sea urchin) is the source of this 304-nucleotide long non-coding RNA. RefSeq lists it as uncharacterized. The transcript has 3 exons. Lineage: Eukaryota; Metazoa; Echinodermata; Echinoidea; Camarodonta; Strongylocentrotidae. The record is from RefSeq and is a predicted model, not a curated record.
UAAGGUAAGCGGCGACAACGAAAUGAUCAUUCGUUGUGUUUGAUAUCAAAUUGCAAGGUGUGUUCAUUAGAACGUAAGUGUGAAGUCCAUGUUACGUUGCCAGCAGAAUAUAGAACAAAACAGUUACAUUGUGAACAACUGGUCGCAAGUUACAUCUAAUUUCAUGCAAACAGAAGCAAAAUGUGGAAAGUCGUAAUAAUCUCACUCCUUGGAAUUCUGAUAGAUAUACAGAGCGUAGACGCCGAAACAUGCUCCAUUUCCGAAUAUGGCUUCGAUUGCCUAAAGACUCUAUGGUGGUUCUGGU